ACCAAAUCUUCUCCGAGAAAACAACAAAGAUGAAUUCCUCCAUUGUUUUUUUGGCUCUUGCCAUGUGUGUUGCCUUCGUCGCAGCUGAAACCUACGACUACACCAAUGAAAAUGGUGACGAUUGUGUCUGCAGCAUCUCUUUACCAGCUCCUGGUUGUGAUACUGAUGUCCUCCCUUCCGAAGAAAUCGCUAGCCAUGAAGGUGUACCAGGAGUUCGCAAAGGUUUCUCUACCCAUCAUGCAUCGUUCUAUGUUGGUUCCCGCCACCGUAAAGGAAACAUUCGUAGUGUAACCUACCCAAGAUACUUGUAAUCAAAACAGCAUCUACAGAAUAAAUUAAUAAAUUUUAGUCGGAAUUA
Dalotia coriaria is the source of this 358-nucleotide long non-coding RNA. RefSeq lists it as uncharacterized. The record is from RefSeq and is a predicted model, not a curated record. The transcript is spliced from 2 exons. NCBI's taxonomy places the organism in Eukaryota, Metazoa, Arthropoda, Insecta, Coleoptera, Staphylinidae.